This 331-nucleotide unclassified non-coding RNA is filed under the name Hevea brasiliensis (rubber tree). The record is from RNAcentral. Lineage: Eukaryota; Viridiplantae; Streptophyta; Magnoliopsida; Malpighiales; Euphorbiaceae.
AAAAAAACAGAAUUUACUGGUGCUUAACAAGUCUAAAUGAUAUGAAAAAUCAUUAGUGCAAAGAACUUCAGAUGGAUUGAAGUUGGAGAAGUGUAUAUCAAGCAAUGGUGUUUCUUCAUCCUCUACACAGAAAGAGAGAAUCCCGUCGGGUUCUAGCAACUUGAUGAAGAGUAUGUUUCUAACUGCAGCUCGACCUACUUGGCUCGGUUUACCUUCAAGUAAGGCAAUGCACCGAUUACAUUGUUGUAAUCACUGCGGUCAACUUGUACCGUUUUCGAGAGUCUGUUUUUCCUUUUAGUAUUCUUCUUCCUAAGCAAAUGCUGCUUCCCAG